Small nuclear RNA from Bombus huntii, 107 nucleotides. Lineage: Eukaryota; Metazoa; Arthropoda; Insecta; Hymenoptera; Apidae. The record is from RefSeq and is a predicted model, not a curated record.
GUACUUGCUUCGGCAUUACAUAUACUAAAAUUGGAACGAUACAUAGAAGAUUAGCAUGACCCCUGCGCAAGUAUGACACGCAAAAUCGUGAAGCGAUCCACACUUUC